GAGGAAGUCUGUCUCAGGUGCAGAUCUUGACUCUGCCACACCAGCACCGUGAACCAGCAGACGAGCUUCAUGCUCUGAAGUCACCUAAAGAGCUCUGCUCAAAUAGAAAGAUCGAACAGAGAUUGGUGGUGGCAAAUGUAAUAUAACAUAGGAUGAAGUUUUGGCUUUCAGCUGUCCUCUCCCCCAGGCCUUCCAGGCAAGGAAAAUAUUAUGUCUGGAGGAAAGGCAGCAGAGCAUGAGGAGGUGGCUGCAGUCAUCUGGGUCGUGGAUAACAGCUGGGAAUGCUUGUAUUGGCUGCAGGGCAGGAGGUGGACACGGGUGAGAGGAGAUGGGGUAACUCCAGGUUCCUCCUCGUGGGACCGGCCAUAGUGUUUCACGUUGGCAACCUGAAGGGAUGGAAACUGCUGCUUCCUGCUCAGAGAAAAUAGCAUCCUCAUUUCCUCUGAGGAUGAUGCAUGUACCUAAAACCCAGCAGGCUUUUAUGGACUUCGCAGGACCUGGACCAUCCUAGCAGGCAGAGCACAGUGAGCAGCUCUGGAAGAACAAGGACGGAUGCAUUGCAGGGCUCACGGGUCAGUCCUUGCACUUUAGGGAACCCAAAGCAUCUGAACUCACACAAGUGGCUUAAAAAAUCCUGUGAGAGACAUAGAGAUGUCCCCACAGCCCUUCUCCCCCCACCCAGAUGUAUCCUCGGGCUCUUAGGCUCCCCAUCCUCCUUCUGUU
This is a long non-coding RNA of Gallus gallus (chicken), 723 nucleotides long. Lineage: Eukaryota; Metazoa; Chordata; Aves; Galliformes; Phasianidae. The record is from Ensembl.